This 374-nucleotide unclassified non-coding RNA is filed under the name uncultured Gammaproteobacteria bacterium. RNAcentral's name for it is "contains 16S-23S intergenic spacer region". The record is from RNAcentral. Lineage: Bacteria; Pseudomonadati; Pseudomonadota; Gammaproteobacteria.
UCCGGUUUGUCACCGGCAGUCUCAUUAGAGUGCUCUUGCGUAGCAACUAAUGAUAAGGGUUGCGCUCGUUGCGGGACUUAACCCAAUAUCUCACGACACGAGCUGACGACAGCCAUGCAGCACCUGUGUUCAAGUUCUCUUGCGAGUACUUCCACAUCUCUGCGAAAUUCUUGACAUGUCAAGGGUAGGUAAGGUUUUUCGCGUUGCAUCGAAUUAAUCCACAUCAUCCACCGCUUGUGCGGGUCCCCGUCAAUUCCUUUGAGUUUUAAUCUUGCGACCGUACUCCCCAGGCGGUCUACUUCACGCGUUAGCUUCGUUACUAAGUAUUUUUAUAUACCCAACAACCAGUAGACAUCGUUUAGGGCGUGGACUAC